This 76-nucleotide transfer RNA is filed under the name Verrucomicrobiales bacterium. Its description in RNAcentral is "tRNA-Ile". It matches the Rfam family "tRNA". From Rfam's summary of the family: Transfer RNA (tRNA) molecules are approximately 80 nucleotides in length. Their secondary structure includes four short double-helical elements and three loops (D, anti-codon, and T loops). Lineage: Bacteria; Pseudomonadati; Verrucomicrobiota; Verrucomicrobiia; Verrucomicrobiales. The record is from RNAcentral.
CGCAGGGUAGCCAAGUCGGUAAGGCGCGAGAUUCAUAACCUCGUCACCGCGGGUUCGAAUCCCGCCCCUGCAACCA